RNAcentral lists this ribosomal RNA (440 nucleotides) under uncultured bacterium. RNAcentral's name for it is "partial 16S ribosomal RNA". It matches the Rfam family "Bacterial small subunit ribosomal RNA", at positions 338 to 795 of the family's 1533-position model. The record is from RNAcentral.
CCUACGGGGGGCAGCAGUGGGGAAUAUUGCACAAUGGGGGAAACCCUGAUGCAGCGACGCCGCGUGAGUGAAGAAGUCUUUCGGUACGUAAAGCUCUAUCAGCAGGGAAGAAAAUGACUGUACCUGACUAAUAAGCCCCGGCUAACUACGUGCCAGCAGCCGCGGUAAUACGUAGGGGGCAAGCGUUAUCCGGGUUUACUGGGUGUAAAGGGAGCGUAGACGGCAGCGCAAGUCUGGAGUGAAAUCCCAUGGCUUAACCAUGGAACUGCGUUUGAAACUGUGCAGCUAGAGUGCAGGAGAGGUAAGCGGAAUUCCUAGUGUAGCGGUGAAAUGCGUAGAUAUUAGGAGGAACACCAGUGGCGAAGGCGGCUUACUGGACUGUAACUGACGUUGAGGCUCGAAAGCGUGGGGAGCAAACAGGAUUAGAUACCCGAGUAGUC